UACAGAGGUCCCAAGCGUUGUUCGGAUUCACUGGGCGUAAGGGUGCGUAGGCGGUUUGGUAAGUCUUAUGUGAAAUCUACAGGCUCAACUUGUAGUCUGCAUGAGAAACUGCCGGGCUUGAGUAUGGGAGAGGUGAGUGGAAUUCUUGGUGUAGCGGUGAAAUGCGUAGAUAUCAGGAGGAACACCUGUGGCGAAAGCGGCUCACUGGACCAUAACUGACGCUGAUGCACGAAAGCUAGGGGAGCAAACAGG
Molecule: ribosomal RNA, 252 nt
Filed under: uncultured bacterium
Lineage: Bacteria
Description: partial 16S ribosomal RNA
Rfam family: Bacterial small subunit ribosomal RNA
Source: RNAcentral